CGAAGGCUCGAACAAAGGCGGGGCUCACAGCGCAACUCACAUAGGCAGACCAAGCUCAUGGAACCACCUACGUUUACAAAAUCCAGCAUGUAUAAUAUUGGGACGUUUUGCAGUGUUGACAUUUUCAAUUCGGAAAUAAAGAGUUUCAGUCAAUGGUUCGAAAAUUGAUUGACUAUGGUCAAAUUGUUAUAGUGAAAAUGGAAUUGGGUUUGUUGCUCAUGAUGAAAUACUAAAAUGCAUAUUCAUUUUCAUAUGUUGAGUUAACUUGAUCAUACCAAACAAAUGCACCCUAUAAUUGGGUUCGGUAGAGUUCAAUUACAAUUUCAUGCAGUAGAUUCAGAGUUUGUGGGUAUGCUUUUCGUAUGUAUAACAAUGAAGGAAUUGAAUGCAUUAGUCAACAUUUGAAUCUAAUAAUGAAGAAUUUUAGUUGAGAAA
Cannabis sativa is the source of this 435-nucleotide long non-coding RNA. RefSeq lists it as uncharacterized. NCBI's taxonomy places the organism in Eukaryota, Viridiplantae, Streptophyta, Magnoliopsida, Rosales, Cannabaceae. The record is from RefSeq and is a predicted model, not a curated record. The transcript is spliced from 2 exons.